RNAcentral lists this ribosomal RNA (755 nucleotides) under uncultured bacterium. RNAcentral's name for it is "bacterial SSU rRNA". It matches the Rfam family "Bacterial small subunit ribosomal RNA", at positions 28 to 776 of the family's 1533-position model. The record is from RNAcentral.
AUUGAACGCUGGCGGCAGGCUUAACACAUGCAGGUCGAGCGGAAACGAUGGUAGCUUGCUAUCAGGCGUCGAGCGGCGGACGGGUGAGUAAUACUUAGGAAUCUACCUAGUAGUGGGGGAUAGCUCGGGGAAACUCGAAUUAAUACCGCAUACGACCUACGGGAGAAAGGGGGCAGUUUACUGCUCUCGCUAUUAGAUGAGCCUAAGUCGGAUUAGCUAGAUGGUGGGGUAAAGGCCUACCAUGGCGACGAUCUGUAGCUGGUCUGAGAGGAUGAUCAGCCACACCGGGACUGAGACACGGCCCGGACUCCUACGGGAGGCAGCAGUGGGGAAUAUUGGACAAUGGGGGCAACCCUGAUCCAGCCAUGCCGCGUGUGUGAAGAAGGCCUUUUGGUUGUAAAGCACUUUAAGCAGUGAAGAAGACUCCGUGGUUAAUACCCACGGACGAUGACAUUAGCUGCAGAAUAAGCACCGGCUAACUCUGUGCCAGCAGCCGCGGUAAUACAGAGGGUGCAAGCGUUAAUCGGAAUUACUGGGCGUAAAGCGAGCGUAGGUGGCUUGAUAAGUCAGAUGUGAAAUCCCCGGGCUUAACCUGGGAACUGCAUCUGAUACUGUUAGGCUAGAAUAGGUGAGAGGAAGGUAGAAUUCCAGGUGUAGCGGUGAAAUGCGUAGAGAUCUGGAGGAAUACCGAUGGCGAAGGCAGCCUUCUGGCAUCAUAUUGACACUGAGGUUCGAAAGCGUGGGUAGCAAACAGG